AUUGAACGCUGGCGGCAUGCCUUACACAUGCAAGUCGAACGGCAGCAUGAUCUAGCUUGCUAGAUUGAUGGCGAGUGGCGAACGUGUGAGUAAUACAUCGGAACGUGCCCUGUAGUGGGGGAUAACUAGUCGAAAGAUUAGCUAAUACCGCAUACGACCUGAGGGUGAAAGUGGGGGACCGCAAGGCCUCAUGCUAUAGGAGCGGCCGAUGUCUGAUUAGCUAGUUGGUGAGGUAAAGGCUCACCAAGGCGACGAUCAGUAGCUGGUCUGAGAGGACGAUCAGCCACACUGGGACUGAGACACGGCCCAGACUCCUACGGGAGGCAGCAGUAGGGAAUUUUGGGCAAUGGGCGAAAGCCUGAUCCAGCAAUGCCGCGUGAGUGAAGAAGGCCUUCGGGUUGUAAAACACUUUUGUCCGGAAAGAAAAGACUCUGGUUAAUACCUGGAGUCGAUGACGGUACCGGAAGAAUAAGGACCGGCUAACUACGUG
Molecule: ribosomal RNA, 490 nt
Filed under: uncultured bacterium
Lineage: Bacteria
Description: partial 16S ribosomal RNA
Rfam family: Bacterial small subunit ribosomal RNA
Source: RNAcentral